Molecule: ribosomal RNA, 255 nt
Filed under: Staphylococcus aureus
Lineage: Bacteria; Bacillati; Bacillota; Bacilli; Caryophanales; Staphylococcaceae
Description: partial 23S ribosomal RNA
Rfam family: Bacterial large subunit ribosomal RNA
Source: RNAcentral
UGAGUUAUGUCAUGUUAUCGAUAUGUGAAUACAUAGCAUAUCAGAAGGCACACCCGGAGAACUGAAACAUCUUAGUACCCGGAGGAAGAGAAAGAAAAUUCGAUUCCCUUAGUAGCGGCGAGCGAAACGGGAAGAGCCCAAACCAACAAGCUUGCUUGUUGGGGUUGUAGGACACUCUAUACGGAGUUACAAAGGACGACAUUAGACGAAUCAUCUGGAAAGAUGAAUCAAAGAAGGUAAUAAUCCUGUAGUCGA